UGGUUUGAGCAUCAGGGUGUCUUCUUCAGU
This 30-nucleotide non-coding RNA is filed under the name Rattus norvegicus (Norway rat). Lineage: Eukaryota; Metazoa; Chordata; Mammalia; Rodentia; Muridae. The record is from RNAcentral.